AUUUCUUCAUUCUGGCUAUAAUAAUGAUCCAAUCGGAUCCCAAUUUGGUGAUCUGUGAGAUAUGGUCUACGGAAUGGCGUUUUUAGGGUUCUGUUAUCUUCAAAAUUGUAGAUUUGGGAGGUUUUCGCCCUUUUGAGGGGCGGAAGGGGGCGGGGCUCAUUUUUGAAAUACACUUGUAACAGUGUGAGCAUGCAGAAGUCUGGAUGCAAAAUUUGGUGGCUUUAGCUCUUAUAGUCUCUGCGUACUUGGCGCUCAUCAGGACGGACAGACGGACGGACAGACAGACAUGGCUCUAUCGACUGGGCUAUUGAUGCUGAUCAAGAAUAUAUAUACUUUAUGGGGUCGGAAACGUUUCAUUCUCUGCGUUACAUACAUAAAUUUUCCACACAAAUAAAAUAUACCAUAUUUACUCUUCGAGUACCGGGUAUAAAAAGAUACAUACAUAUAUCAUAUUUGAAUAAUAAAUGUUAAGAACUACAAAUUCUGAAAUAAUAUUAAACAAGAAAUGCCUAAGAAUAUGCCAAGAAUAUCCCAUAUGUGCAAAUUCGCCUCAGUACCCUCUGCGAAAAGUGAAGAAUAACCCACAGAGGGUGCUAACGUGCUGUUAACAGCAGCUUUUCGAACACAGGUUUGACAGCUAGAGGGCGCUUAAGGUUCAAAAAACCAAGUUAGCAUAAAGAGUAGAAUGUAAAAAGUAAUAAAGCAGUCAGUAAAAACUGAAACAAAAUGAUCAUUGAAUGAUUUUUAAAAUAUAACUUAUAAUGAUUACGGUCCCUACUUUAGUAAUACUGACAUCCAUCUGGACCAUCUAAAUUAAAAUUUGUCCUCAUCACUGAAGAUGAAAUUUUGCCACUUCAAGUCCAUAAACUUAUGAUUUUUGAAGUUAUGAAGUUGAAAUUUUGGUACUUUCUUUAAAUAUGGUAUAUUGUAUUUGUGGGGAAUAACGGUAGUAUGACCCCCCCGACCCCAUAAAGUAUAUCAAUUCUUGAUCAGCAUCAAUAGCCGAGUCCGUCCGUCUUGUUGAGCGCCUGGAUCUCAGAGACUAUAAAAGCGAGAGUCACCAAAUUUUACAUCCAGACUUUUAUAUAUGCUCACACGGUUACAAGUGUAUUUAAAAUAUAAUGAGUAAAUAAAAUAUAUAAAGGGGGCAGCCCUUCCGACCCCGCAAAUCGUGAAAAAUAUGAGAUAUUCGAAAUUUUGAAGAUACGAGAAAACUAAAAAUGCCAUUCCGUAGACCAUAUCUCACAGAUCACCAAAUUGGGAUCCGAUUGGAUCAUUAUUAUAGCCAGAAUGAAGAAAUUAAUU
RNAcentral lists this long non-coding RNA (1305 nucleotides) under Drosophila guanche. The record is from RNAcentral. Lineage: Eukaryota; Metazoa; Arthropoda; Insecta; Diptera; Drosophilidae.